This 1066-nucleotide ribosomal RNA is filed under the name uncultured bacterium. Its description in RNAcentral is "bacterial SSU rRNA". It matches the Rfam family "Bacterial small subunit ribosomal RNA", at positions 97 to 1148 of the family's 1533-position model. The record is from RNAcentral.
GGCGGAAGGGUGCGUAACGCGUGGGUAAUUUGCCGUGAAGUUGGGGAUAACUCGCUGAAAGGCGAGCUAAUACCGAAUGUGAUCCGACGGGGGCAUCCCUGUUUGAUUGAAGCUGGGGACCGUAAGGCCUGGCGCUUCACGAUAAGCCCGCGACCUAUCAGCUAGUUGGUGAGGUAACGGCUCACCAAGGCUAAGACGGGUAGCUGGUCUGAGAGGACGACCAGCCACGCUGGAACUGAGACACGGUCCAGACACCUACGGGUGGCAGCAGUCGAGAAUUUUUCUCAAUGGACGAAAGUCUGAAGGAGCGACGCCGCGUGGGGGAUGAAGGGCUUCGGUCCGUAAACCCCUGUCAUUUGCGAACAAACCUUGCGUUUGAACAGAACGCGAGCUGAUUGUAGCGAAAGAGGAAGGGACGGCUAGCUCUGUGCCAGCAGCCGCGGUAAUACAGAGGUCCCAAGCGUUGUUCGGAUUCACUGGGCGUAAAGGGUGCGUAGGCGGUGGGGUAAGUCUGGUGUGAAAGCUCGGAGCUCAACUCCGAAAUGUCAUCGGAAACUACUUCACUUGAGGUUUGGAGGGGGGACUGGAAUUCUCGGUGUAGCAGUGAAAUGCGUAGAUAUCGAGAGGAACACCAGUGGCGAAGGCGAGUCCCUGGACAAAUCCUGACGCUGAGGCACGAAAGCUAGGGGAGCAAACAGGAUUAGAUACCCUGGUAGUCCUAGCUGUAAACGGUGCACGUUUGCUGUGAGCGGAUUCGACCCCGUUCGUGGCGUAGCUAACGCGAUAAACGUGCCGCCUGGGGAGUACGGUCGCAAGAUUAAAACUCAAAGAAAUUGACGGGGGCCUGCACAAGCGGUGGAGUAUGUGGCUUAAUUCGAUGCAACGCGAAGAACCUUACCUGGUCUUGACAUGCUAGUAGUAGGAGCCUGAAAGGGUGACGAGGUAGCAAUACCAGCUAGCACAGGUGCUGCAUGCUGUCGUCAGCUCGUGUCGUGAGAUGGUUUGGGUUAGUCCGCACGAGCGCACCCCUGUGUCUGUGCCACCCCUAUGGGAGCACUCUGACAGA